RNAcentral lists this ribosomal RNA (885 nucleotides) under uncultured archaeon. RNAcentral's name for it is "bacterial SSU rRNA". It matches the Rfam family "Archaeal small subunit ribosomal RNA", at positions 29 to 922 of the family's 1478-position model. The record is from RNAcentral.
GGUCUGUGGGAUGUACUAGCAUGCGAGUCAUUGUAGUAAUACAAGGCAGACGGCUCAGUAACGCGUAGUCAACCUACCCUAUGGACGGGGAUAACCUCGGGAAACUGAGAAUAAUACCCGAUAGAACAUUAUGCCUGGAAUGGUUUAUGUUUCAAAUAAUUUAUUGCCGUAGGAUGGGACUGCGGCCUAUCAGUUUGUUGGUGAGGUAAUGGCCCACCAAGACUAUUACAGGUACGGGCUCUGAGAGGAGUAGCCCGGAGAUGGGUACUGAGACACGGACCCAGGCCCUAUGGGGCGCAGCAGGCGAGAAAACUUUGCAAUGUGCGAAAGCACGACAAGGUUAAUCCGAGUGGUUUCUGCUAAAGGAACCUUUUGUCAGUCCUAGAAACACUGGUGAAUAAGGGGUGGGCAAGUUCUGGUGUCAGCCGCCGCGGUAAAACCAGCACCUCAAGUGGUCAGGAUGAUUAUUGGGCCUAAAGCAUCCGUAGCCUGCUUUGUAAGUUUUCGGUUAAAUCCAUACGCUCAACGUAUGGGCUGCCGGGAAUACUGCAAAGCUAGGGAGUGGGAGAGGUAGACGGUACUCGGUAGGAAGGGGUAAAAUCCUUUGAUCUAUUGAUGACCACCUGUGGCGAAGGCGGUCUACCAGAACACGUCCGACGGUGAGGGAUGAAAGCUGGGGGAGCAAACCGGAUUAGAUACCCGGGUAGUCCCAGCUGUAAACUAUGCAAACUCAGUGAUGCAUUGGCUUGAUGCCAAUGCAGUGCUGCAGGGAAGCCGUUAAGUUUGCCGCCUGGGAAGUACGUACGCAAGUAUGAAACUUAAAGGAAUUGGCGGGGGAGCACCACAAGGGGUGAAGCCUGCGGUUCAAUUGGAUUCAACGCCGGG